ACGGCCUAACACAUGCAAGUCGAGCGGAUGAGUGGAGCUUGCUCCAUGAUUCAGCGGCGGACGGGUGAGUAAUGCCUAGGAAUCUGCCUGGUAGUGGGGGACAACGUUUCGAAAGGAACGCUAAUACCGCAUACGUCCUACGGGAGAAAGCAGGGGACCUUCGGGCCUUGCGCUAUCAGAUGAGCCUAGGUCGGAUUAGCUAGUUGGUGGGGUAAAGGCCUACCAAGGCGACGAUCCGUAACUGGUCUGAGAGGAUGAUCAGUCACACUGGAACUGAGACACGGUCCAGACUCCUACGGGAGGCAGCAGUGGGGAAUAUUGGACAAUGGGCGAAAGCCUGAUCCAGCCAUGCCGCGUGUGUGAAGAAAGUCUUCGGAUUGUAAAGCACUUUAAGUUGGGAGGAAGGGCAGUAAGUUAAUACCUUGCUGUUUUGACGUUACCAACAGAAUAAGCACCGGCUAACUUCGUGCCAGCAGCCGCGGUAAUACGAAGGGUGCAAGCGUUAAUCGGACAUUACUGGGCGUAAAGCGCGCGUAGGUGGUUUGGUACAGAUGGAUGUGAAAUCCCCGGGCUCC
RNAcentral lists this ribosomal RNA (575 nucleotides) under uncultured bacterium. Its description in RNAcentral is "bacterial SSU rRNA". It matches the Rfam family "Bacterial small subunit ribosomal RNA", at positions 44 to 611 of the family's 1533-position model. The record is from RNAcentral.